AUUAAACUUCAAAGAGCCCUUUAAUCCUGCAGUAUGGGUGAGGCAGAGAGCUCCCCUCCAAACCGGGCAAAAUCCUCCCCUCACGUUCUAGAUCCUCCAAAUCGGGCAGUUUUACCCAAAAAUUGAUUUUCUGGUUGUUUUCUCCUCCCCAAGAAGACACUGUUAGGCAGGCGUCCCUCUCCAGGGUCUCUGACAAGGACCUGCUGGCCAUGGCACUGAUGGCUGCCCAUGAGAGAUGCAACCCCCUGCCCUGUCAGUCCUUAAUUAGAGCCUUAACGAAGCCCUGCCUUAAUUAGGGCCCUAACACCCUCCCAGCCAAGUAGGGGUCCUAAUGAUUAGGACCCCUGGUAAUUAAGUGGGGGUCCCUAAUGAAGCCCCUCUAAUAAAGCAGGGGGUUCUCUGGAUAUUCUUGCUAAUGAAGUCAGGGUCUCUAAUUAAGCAAGGAACCUUAAUGAUGCCUCAAUUAAUGAAGUAGGGAAUCCUAAUGAUGCCCCACUAAUGAAGUGAGAGGUGUUAAUGAUGUUCCUAAUAAUGCAGGGGGGCCCUAAUGAUGUUCCUAAUAAUUAAGUGGGGGCCCUAAUGAUGCUCCCCCAGUCAAGCAGGGGCUCUAAUCAAGCAGGGCCUUAAUGAUGCCCCUGCUGAUAAAGCAGGUCCCUAAUUAAUCCCAGAGGUGCUCAAACCUCAGAGUCCUGCUCCCAUUACCCAAAAUCCC
Molecule: long non-coding RNA, 712 nt
Filed under: Taeniopygia guttata (zebra finch)
Lineage: Eukaryota; Metazoa; Chordata; Aves; Passeriformes; Estrildidae
Description: lncRNA (ENSTGUG00000019775.1)
Source: RNAcentral